Molecule: long non-coding RNA, 156 nt
Organism: Etheostoma spectabile (orangethroat darter)
Lineage: Eukaryota; Metazoa; Chordata; Actinopteri; Perciformes; Percidae
Exons: 2
Source: RefSeq, a predicted model, not a curated record
UCCUCCUCAUUCCAAAAACUAUAUAAACCGACAACUAUAUGUUCUAUAAUUCACUGACUCCUCACUGCAGCUGAAGGUUCAUUGUGGGACUUCUAAGACAUCACAGAGAUGAAGUGGGUUUUGUGCCUGCUAUCUGCAGGUCUUUUCCUGUGUUUG